GAAAAUGAGCGAUCAAGUCAGAAUGGAAAAAGAAAGGAUGCAACAUCUGACAGCAACCAAGUCAGAAGUUCCAACUGUCACCUUGGAAGCUGACUACAGGAUGACUUCUACCUCAACCUCGUGGACUGGUCUGCUCUAAUGGUGCUAAGCAAGCUUAGGCACUUGUCUAUCUCUGGAGUGCCUGUUCAUUUCUAUACAAGCCCCCAGAUGUGCAUUGAUUUAUUUUUCAGGUAACUCGUCUGUGUGAUUUAGCAGUGGAGGGAGAUUCUGUUACAUCCGUGGGCUGGUCAGAGGGCAAUCAUGUGGCAGUCGGGCCUCACAAAGGCUACGUAUAGAUCUGGGAUGCAGCAGCUGGCAAAAAGCUUUUUACACUAGAGGGACACACUGCUAGAGUUGAACGCAGACCAGUUGCCAUCAGGCAGUCGAGACCUUAUGAUCCUGCAGAUGAUUCACACAUACCUCUCCAGUCUGAGCACCGGUUGCAGGGUCACCUGCAGAAGGUGUGUGUGGUCUGAAGUGGAGUACAGAGAGCCACGGGAAGUAGUGCUGCAGCACCCACUGAUAAAUCAAAAUAAAUACAAUUAUAAACAUUUAAAAAGGAAUAGACUAAUGAUUGAAUGCCUUGAAUUCAUCACAGGACAUUCAUCAACAUAAUGCAAAAUAAUGAACCAACAUCUUAUCAUAGAGGAUGGAGGAGCAAAGAACUGUGUUUACUUUGUCACUCGGAAACAAUUGAAACUGGACCAUUAACAGAUUUUUUUUUGUUUUUUUGUCAUCAUUUUUUCAAUUAUUGUCCAGUUCAAUUUACAGUUUUGAUUUUUGUAUUCCAUGUCUAUGAUGAAACUAUGUGUUAAAGGAGGGUUAAGAUCUAAACUUUGAGUUGAUGAUGUUACAGUCAGGUCAUAUUAUUUGCCAUUUAAAAAUAUAUAUUUUAUUGUUGUAUGGACUUGGGCAAGAUGCAUAAUAUAAUGGGACAAUGGGACACUCAUGGAAGUCCAGUUUCUUUAAAUUGCUAGUAAACAUGUCAAAGCACUACAUUGAAUAUAGUAUGGCGGAAAAAACGAAACUAAGUAAAAUGUGGGGAAUUAACAGAAAAUGUAUGCAAAUCAAGAAUAAGAGU
Molecule: long non-coding RNA, 1120 nt
Organism: Oncorhynchus kisutch (coho salmon)
Lineage: Eukaryota; Metazoa; Chordata; Actinopteri; Salmoniformes; Salmonidae
Exons: 4
Source: RefSeq, a predicted model, not a curated record